UACGUAGGGUGCAAGCGUUAAUCGGAAUUACUGGGCGUAAAGCGUGCGCAGGCGGUUCUGUAAGUCUGUCGUGAAAUCCCCGGGCUCAACCUGGGAAUUGCGAUGGAGACUGCAAGGCUAGAAUCUGGCAGAGGGGGGUAGAAUUCCACGUGUAGCAGUGAAAUGCGUAGAGAUGUGGAGGAACACCGAUGGCGAAGGCAGCCCCCUGGGUCAAGAUUGACGCUCAUGCACGAAAGCGUGGGGAGCAAACAGG
Molecule: ribosomal RNA, 253 nt
Filed under: uncultured bacterium
Lineage: Bacteria
Description: partial 16S ribosomal RNA
Rfam family: Bacterial small subunit ribosomal RNA
Source: RNAcentral